CUUUGAUUCUUCCAUAGUUCAGUCAUCCUUGCUAUCUUGCGGGGGAUUGGUUCUAGGAUACCGCCCCCACACCAUACCAGAAUCUGUGGAUGCUCAAUCCCUUACAUAUAAUGGUGUAAUAUUUGCUUAUAACCAACACGCAUCCCCCCUAUACUUUAUUUACUUAGCGACAGGAUUGCCCUCUGUUGCUUACGCUGGAGUGCAGUGUCAUCCUCUGUUACUCAGGAUGGAGUGCGGUGUCACGAUCACAGCUCACUGUAGCCUCAACCUCCUGGGCUCCAGUGAUCCGCCCACCUCAGCCUCUUGAGUAGCUGAGACUACAGGUGCAUACUACCACACCUGGCUAUUUUUUUUUUAAUUUUUAAUAAAGACAAGGUCUCACUAUGCUGCCCAGGUUGGCCUCCCAAUGUGUUGGGAUUACAAGUGUGAGCCACCAUGCCUGGCCCCAUGUAAUUU
RNAcentral lists this long non-coding RNA (456 nucleotides) under Homo sapiens (human). RNAcentral's name for it is "HSALNT0241599". The record is from RNAcentral. Lineage: Eukaryota; Metazoa; Chordata; Mammalia; Primates; Hominidae.